Molecule: non-coding RNA, 541 nt
Organism: Anoplopoma fimbria (sablefish)
Lineage: Eukaryota; Metazoa; Chordata; Actinopteri; Perciformes; Anoplopomatidae
Source: the annotation of a RefSeq genome assembly
ACAUCACAUCAGGCUGUUAGUGAAGUUCAUAUCUCUUCAGUUUCAACAUAAACCAUGUUCUCUGUAGCUCUGCUGCUGCUGUUGGCAGCUAGAUGUGUGGAGUGUGAACAGUUGACACAGCCGGCCUCUGUGACUGUGCAGCCAGGUCAACGUCUGACCAUCACCUGUCAGGUCUCCUAUGCUCUUGCAGCUACUACACAGCUUGGAUCAGACAGCCUGCAGGGAAAGGACUGGAGUGGAUUGGAAUGAAAUAUACUGGAUGGUUCAUACUACAAAGAUUCACUGAAGAACAAGUUCAGUAUCGACUUAGACUCUUCCAGCAAAACAGUGACUCUAAACGGACAGAAUGUGCAGCCUGAAGACACUGCUGUGUAUUACUGUGCCAGAGACUCACAAUAACAGGAACCAUCAGUAGACCUGAACAAAAACCCCUCAGUGCCUGAACACUUGUUACAUGAAGCCACCAGAGGAGGAGCCCUCACACCACUAAUGGUUUCAACACCAGCUCACUGUUUAAAAACUUGAAGGUUACAAGCACUAA